Molecule: ribosomal RNA, 496 nt
Filed under: uncultured bacterium
Lineage: Bacteria
Description: partial 16S ribosomal RNA
Rfam family: Bacterial small subunit ribosomal RNA
Source: RNAcentral
GAUGAACGCUGGCGGCGUGCCUAAUACAUGCAAGUCGAGCGAACAGACGAGGAGCUUGCUCCUCUGACGUUAGCGGCGGACGGGUGAGUAACACGUGGAUAACCUACCUAUAAGACUGGGAUAACUUCGGGAAACCGGAGCUAAUACCGGAUAAUAUAUUGAACCGCAUGGUUCAAUAGUGAAAGACGGUUUUGCUGUCACUUAUAGAUGGAUCCGCGCCGCAUUAGCUAGUUGGUAAGGUAACGGCUUACCAAGGCGACGAUGCGUAGCCGACCUGAGAGGGUGAUCGGCCACACUGGAAGUGAGACACGGUCCAGACUCCUACGGGAGGCAGCAGUAGGGAAUCUUCCGCAAUGGGCGAAAGCUUGACGGAGCAACGCCGCGUGAGUGAUGAAGGGCUUCGGAUCGUAAAACGCUGUUAUUAGGGAAGAACAAAUGUGUAAGUAACUAUGCACGUCUUGACGGUACCGAAUCAGAAAGCCACGGCUAACUACGU